Molecule: ribosomal RNA, 468 nt
Filed under: uncultured bacterium
Lineage: Bacteria
Description: partial 16S ribosomal RNA
Rfam family: Bacterial small subunit ribosomal RNA
Source: RNAcentral
GACGAACGCUGGCGGCGUGCUUAACACAUGCAAGUCGAACGGAAAGGCCCUGCUUUUGUGGGGUGCUCGAGUGGCGAACGGGUGAGUAACACGUGAGUAACCUGCCCUUGACUUUGGGAUAACUUCAGGAAACUGGGGCUAAUACCGGAUAGGAGCUCCUGCUGCAUGGUGGGGGUUGGAAAGUUUCGGCGGUUGGGGAUGGACUCGCGGCUUAUCAGCUUGUUGGUGGGGUAGUGGCUUACCAACGCUUUGAAGGGUAGCCGGCCUGGGAGGGUGACCGGCGACAUUGCGCCUGCGAUACGGCCCAGACUCCUACGGGAGGCAGCAGUGGGAAAUAUUGCACAAUGGGCGGAAGCCUGAUGCGACAACGCCGCGUGCGUGAUGACGGCCUUCGGGUUGUAAACCGCUUUCGCCUGUGACGAAGCGUGAGUGACGGUAAUGGGUAAAGAAGCACCGGCUAACUACGUG